AUUGAACGCUGGCGGCAGGCCUAACACAUGCAAGUCGAACGGUAACAGGAAACAGCUUGCUGUUUCGCUGACGAGUGGCGGCCGGGUGAGUAAUGUCUGGGAAACUGCCUGAUGGAGGGGGAUAACUACUGGAAACGGUAGCUAAUACCGCAUAACGUCGCAAGACCAAAGAGGGGGACCCUCGGGCCUCUUGCCAUCUGAUGUGCCCAGAUGGGAUUAGCUUGUUGGUGGGGUAACGGCUCACCAAGGCGACGAUCCCUAGCUGGUCUGAGAGGAUGACCAGCCACACUGGAACUGAGACACGGUCCAGACUCCUACGGGAGGCAGCAGUGGGGAAUAUUGCACAAUGGGCGCAAGCCUGAUGCAGCCAUGCCGCGUGUAUGAAGAAGGCCUUCGGGUUGUAAAGUACUUUCAGCGGGGAGGAAGGGAGUAAAGUUAAUACCUUUGCUCAUUGACGUUACCCGCAGAAGAAGCACCGGCUAACUCCGUG
Molecule: ribosomal RNA, 490 nt
Filed under: uncultured bacterium
Lineage: Bacteria
Description: partial 16S ribosomal RNA
Rfam family: Bacterial small subunit ribosomal RNA
Source: RNAcentral